This is a long non-coding RNA of Fundulus heteroclitus (mummichog), 350 nucleotides long. RefSeq lists it as uncharacterized. Lineage: Eukaryota; Metazoa; Chordata; Actinopteri; Cyprinodontiformes; Fundulidae. The record is from RefSeq and is a predicted model, not a curated record. The transcript has 3 exons.
GCAAGUCAAUGGUUCUUGGUGUCAGACUGAAAGAAUCACAUCUCGCUCUCUUCCCACCAAUUCUCCAUUUCAGCUUGUGUAUCAAAGUCGUUACUGGUUAUUCAAUAAAAAUGGCAUUGGAUACUGGAGAGCUGUUGCAUACGUUGAGCUGAGGAGCCGGUCCGACACCAACAAAUCCAACUCAUCACCACAGACCACCAUCUUUCCAGUCCUAAGAGUUCCUGUAAACUGUAAUAGAAAUAUUAACCUGUUGGCCUUUGACCCCGAUGGAGACGAGGUUAAAUGCAGAUAUGCUGAUUUAUCCUUGACUGAAUGUGACUCACCCUGCACACCUCCACCUGUUCUCAGCC